CAUUACUCAAAUUGUAGUGACAAUUUAGACAAAGAAAAGGUAUUUACAAAGUGUCAUGUGUACACGUAUGAAUCAAUAUGUAGUCAUCCGCAAGUAUCUACAACAUAGUAGUUUACAAAAUCAUCCAUGAAAUGGUAUUUUACAACCUAGAUUGAUAAAAAUAUAUCACUCAACAAUUUAGAAAACAGUGCAAUCCAGUUCGAACAAACAAAACACUUAAACUAUUGAAGUUCUUGUCGUCGGCCCUCCUGAUGGAAACCUUGAUGGAAACUAUCACGUCAUCCAAAUUGUGAUGGAAACCUUGAUGGAAACUAUCACGUCAUCCAAAUUGUGAUGGCAGCACCAAGUAGCCGAGUACACAAUCAUACCUAGCAUAUUUACAAAACAAUUAGAUAUUUGUAGGUAUGAAUAGAUAGUAGAAACAAGAGAACUGCAACAAAUGUAAACAUGAAAAUCUAUUAUAUAAUUAUAAAACGAUACAAAACAAAUGGCAUAGAUGUAACAAUAAAAGAGCUAAAAAGAAUGGAUGUGAUCAAACAAAGUUUAUCAAACGAAGCCUAUGACUGAGAAGUGCAAAACAAAACACAUGGAAGGAAACUUGCCAUCUCUUCACAAAAAAGAAGACACUUCCCAUCAUCACGUGUGUUGUACAGACAUACAAUAAGUUCUCGAAUAUAACUAUGCUAUUAGAAAAUCAAUCAACGUGAUGCUAAAAAAUCUUCUUACCUACAAGGAAAUAUAUUACAAAGCCUAGCCCCCUUGUACAUAGCACACGUACAUGAACGAGCAGAAUUUGCCCAACAUUCAAACAGCCAUCCAACAAAAAUGGGUGUACUUCAUGGUCAUAGUAAUACCUUGCUUUCAACGAAAAAUUUAAUUUCCCUAUUUGUAUGACAACAAUACAAAUCAGUAAAAAUAAAAGAAUGUCUAUCAACCUAUUUUAGAUGUCGGGACAAAUUAUUAGUAAAAACUAAAACACGCCAUACAUAUACACUGAAGUUUUCUCUAGAGCAUAAUUUACAAUGGAUUUUCAAAAUAAUUACAUUGCUUCCAUAGAUGAAUAAUUAUACACAGAAAUAUUCUCUAGAUGAAUGGCUUAUGUAGAUGAAUCAAUGGGCAAUGGAAAAUGUAUCCCUUAAGUGUAAUGGUUGGUGGUGUCCAGAUUAUUAUUAUUUUCUUCCUAGAAAACUAUUAGCAAAAGCACAAAUACGAAUACACUCGCUAAUGUCCACACCCUCUAAUAUUUUCUGAAGAUUGAUUUUACUUAGCUGAAUUUUGAGUACAAAUUUCCAAUGGUUUACUCUGUAGAAUGUUUUCACAGUUAUAGCUAACUUGGUCUAAGAAUAUGAAAUUGUCUACACUAGCUGACUUAGUUAUUUCUCCUCUGCUUUAGCUUUUAAAUAUGAUAUUUUAAAAGCAAUCUCUGAAUUUACUAUAUCUGACUAGCUGUACUGCAUCACAAUAUUACCUUCAGUGAAAUAUUACCUUCAACAUUGCCUUGAGUACACGUGCACCACACAAGGCCGGUCCUAAGAUUUGGGGGCCCGGGGCGAAACUAAAACUUAGAGGCCCUUGACAGAAAUAUGAGAAUAUUAGGCUAUGAAGAAAGUACACACUAUGUGUGAUGCAAAGUCAUGUUUAAUGCUUGAAUUACACGUGUAGGAGUAUAUUAUUUCAGGUGUCAAAAGGGACAGAAGACUCCAAAAAUGGUCCAAAAAUAAUUUGCAUCCAAAAUACAUGGUUGCAUUCACAUUUUGAGUCCUUCCAAUGACUAUUGUAAGACUGUUACAGCAAACAUGAGUAUAUGAGGAUUUAGAUAGAUGAGAAAAUCAAUACGAGUGAUGUGGAAAUAUUUUGUCAUAUCUUCUAAACUUACCUUUGUAUCUUUAAAAAUCAAAUUAUAUAGUGCCGAGAUAGUGAAAAGUUACUCCCGCGAAGUUGUAGGGAUGAUUAAAUUAAUAAUUUGUUACCCAAUUGUGCUAUCAUUGCUGAGUUCAUCUAUAAACUCACCACUAUGAGCAGCAUCCAAACCUCGUUCUUGCUUGAGAUCUAUAACACCACAUGAAAAUCAAUAUUAAAAGGCAGAAUCAAAACGAUUAAUUGUACAAACAGUGGAAAAUGUCGACCGACUGACAAUACUCGC
This 2143-nucleotide long non-coding RNA is filed under the name Hordeum vulgare. RNAcentral's name for it is "long non-coding RNA (HVUL_LNC005261)". The record is from RNAcentral. Lineage: Eukaryota; Viridiplantae; Streptophyta; Magnoliopsida; Poales; Poaceae.